Triticum dicoccoides is the source of this 745-nucleotide long non-coding RNA. RefSeq lists it as uncharacterized. The record is from RefSeq and is a predicted model, not a curated record. The transcript is spliced from 3 exons. NCBI's taxonomy places the organism in Eukaryota, Viridiplantae, Streptophyta, Magnoliopsida, Poales, Poaceae.
CCAGAGGUCAUCCUCCUCUUUCUGACCAAGGCCAUCCCCUCCUUCUCCUCUUCAACUAACCAUUUUUAUCCGCCAUGGUGAUUUCUUUUCUGCUACACGAACUGACGAGCGCCUAUACAGAUCGAAGGACCUUCUCUGUUGUCUGAAAUUUGCACCAAGUGAGCAGCUGUACUGAAGUACAUCGAACGUUUUGCAGUGCAUCUAACUAACCUGACCUCACAAGUGCUGAUUUGUAGGUCUGCUCUGAAAUUAGAAGUUGGCUUUAUCUGAAGACCUUGUGUAAAAUUGCUUGGUGCCUUUCGAAAGAUUUCACUCAGAGCAAGAAAGUGAUCAUCAAGUUGCGGUACCUCAUGUCGAUGCGAAGUGGAGAGAAGACCCGAGUAGGGCUAGUGGUCGUUGCCUUGCAAUUAAUCUUAUUCAAAAGUCCCUCUGCCUCUGACAUGGCAAUUGAUAAUUCAAGUUUUUUUAUUGUUGUGAACAAAGUUGAACGAUGAUGGCACGUGAAAACGGUUUAGGCCAACACUUGGUCGCAGUGAAAUGUGGACCGGCCGGUAUUUGAACCUUGGUGAACUGAUGGUUAUCAAUUGUAAUAUUUCUUUCUAGUUUACCGGAAUUCUGAAAUUUUGUAUGUGUUUUUUAGAAUUAUUUGUGAAAUUCUUAUCUAUUGUCAGUUAUUAUCUGUAGAAUUUUCUAUGAAGGCUGUGAAAUUUUGUAUGUACAAGUCUAUUGUUAUCUGUGUAUGAUG